RNAcentral lists this long non-coding RNA (556 nucleotides) under Mastacembelus armatus (zig-zag eel). Its description in RNAcentral is "lncRNA (ENSMAMG00000024543.1)". Lineage: Eukaryota; Metazoa; Chordata; Actinopteri; Synbranchiformes; Mastacembelidae. The record is from RNAcentral.
GGAGAUCCUGGAGAGCCAGGAGCAAAAGGUUUACGUGGGAAGCAGGGUGUGAAAGGAGACAAGGGAGAGCCAGGAAAAGAUGGUCUCGCAGGUUUGCCUGGUCCCAUUGGCAUCGAUGGGGUACCAGGAUUUCCAGGUCAGAAAGGAGAUAAGGUAAAAGUGCUCGAAGUCAAGAGAUUAUAACAUUUGCUCUUGACAGCCUUUCUACUAACAUUACAUAACUAUGCAAGUAUAAAUAAGAUUUGAGCUGUUUUUUCAGGGUGACGAAGGAAUUGGCAUACAAGGUAUUCAAGGCCCUCGCGGAGAGCCUGGAGAGAAGGUAAAACACAAACAGUUUAUUCAUAAAAAGCAAAGCUUGAUUUCAAAGCAUCAGGAUGUGAGGCUGUGAUGCCUUCAAGACAUGAAUUUUGGAAAUGUUCCACUGGCAGUAAAUCAUAGACUAAAUUUGUAGUUGUUUUUAUGUAUCCACAGCUACAUGAGCACAGCACUCUGAAUUAGUAAAGACACCACUAUUACAGAUGCAUCAGUAUAAAAUGGCCAUUUUUGUUUUACAGGG